Molecule: transfer RNA, 73 nt
Filed under: Fasciola hepatica (liver fluke)
Lineage: Eukaryota; Metazoa; Platyhelminthes; Trematoda; Plagiorchiida; Fasciolidae
Rfam family: tRNA
About the family: Transfer RNA (tRNA) molecules are approximately 80 nucleotides in length. Their secondary structure includes four short double-helical elements and three loops (D, anti-codon, and T loops).
Source: Rfam by way of RNAcentral
ACCGCGAUAGCUCAGGUGGUAGGGCAUCUGCCCGACAAGCAGACGCUCUCUAGUCUGAUUCUGACUCUCGGUG